UGCAAACAGAACUCCGACCGGAGACGGAAGGAGUGCUUUUAUUAGAUCAAAACCAAUCGGUGGCGGGUUCGCUCGUCAUCGUACAACUUGGUGACUCUGAAUAACUUUAUGCUGAUCGCACGGUCUCGCACCGGCGACGCAUCUUUCAAAUGUCUGCCUUAUCAACUGUCGAUGGUAGGUUCUGCGCCUACCAUGGUUGUAACGGGUAACGGGGAAUCAGGGUUCGAUUCCGGAGAGGGAGCCUGAGAAACGGCUACCACAUCCAAGGAAGGCAGCAGGCGCGCAAAUUACCCACUCCCGGCACGGGGAGGUAGUGACGAAAAAUAACGAUACGGGACUCAUCCGAGGCCCCGUAAUCGGAAUGAGUACACUCUAAACCCUUUAACGAGGAUCAAUUGGAGGGCAAGUCUGGUGCCAGCAGCCGCGGUAAUUCCAGCUCCAAUAGCGUAUAUUAAAGUUGUUGCGGUUAAAAAGCUCGUAGUCGAAUCUGUGUCUUGCGCCGCCGGUUCAUCGUUCGCGGUGUUAACUGGCGUGUCGCAGGACGUCCUGCCGGUGGGCUUAGCUCGCAAGGGCGGCCCAACUCAAUCCUGCCGCGGUGCUCUUCACUGAGUGUCGAGGUGGGCCGGCACGUUUACUUUGAACAAAUUAGAGUGCUUAAAGCAGGCUAAAACUUCGCCUGAAUACUGUGUGCAUGGAAUAAUGGAAUAGGACCUCGGUUCUAUUUUGUUGGUUUUCGGAACCCCGAGGUAAUGAUUAAUAGGAACGGAUGGGGGCAUUCGUAUUGCGACGUUAGAGGUGAAAUUCUUGGAUCGUCGCAAGACGGACAGAAGCGAAAGCAUUUGCCAAAAACGCUUUCAUUGAUCAAGAACGAAAGUUAGAGGUUCGAAGGCGAUCAGAUACCGCCCUAGUUCUAACCAUAAACGAUGCCAGCUAGCGAUCCGUCGACGUUCCUCCGAUGACUCGACGGGCAGCUUCCGGGAAACCAAAGCUUUUGGGUUCCGGGGGAAGUAUGGUUGCAAAGCUGAAACUUAAAGGAAUUGACGGAAGGGCACCACCAGGAGUGGAGCCUGCGGCUUAAUUUGACUCAACACGGGAAACCUCACCAGGCCCGGACACCGGAAGGAUUGACAGAUUGAGAGCUCUUUCUUGAUUCGGUGGGUGGUGGUGCAUGGCCGUUCUUAGUUGGUGGAGCGAUUUGUCUGGUUAAUUCCGAUAACGAACGAGACUCUAGCCUGCUAACUAGGCGUAUUUUGACAUCGCAAAGGCCCGCCGGUAUCGGGGUUCGCUCCUUUAUCGUGCGCGGUUUUUACUGUCGGCGUACAAACAAUUCUUCUUAGAGGGACAGGCGGCUUCUAGCCGCACGAGAUUGAGCAAUAACAGGUCUGUGAUGCCCUUAGAUGUUCUGGGCCGCACGCGCGCUACACUGAAGGAAUCAGCGUGUCCUCCCUGGCCGAGUGGCCCGGGUAACCCGCUGAACCU
This 1479-nucleotide ribosomal RNA is filed under the name Deporaus fuscipennis. RNAcentral's name for it is "SSU rRNA". It matches the Rfam family "Eukaryotic small subunit ribosomal RNA", at positions 172 to 1561 of the family's 1831-position model. Lineage: Eukaryota; Metazoa; Arthropoda; Insecta; Coleoptera; Attelabidae. The record is from RNAcentral.